Cronartium quercuum f. sp. fusiforme G11 is the source of this 85-nucleotide non-coding RNA. The record is from the annotation of a GenBank genome assembly. NCBI's taxonomy places the organism in Eukaryota, Fungi, Basidiomycota, Pucciniomycetes, Pucciniales, Coleosporiaceae.
GCCUCCGUGGCGUAAUGGUAACGCGUUGGACUUCUAGCAUUCCAUUGCAAUCCAAAGACUGCGGGUUCGAGCCCCGCCGGAGGUG